RNAcentral lists this small RNA (76 nucleotides) under Xanthomonas vasicola. RNAcentral describes it as "sX9 sRNA". It matches the Rfam family "Xanthomonas sRNA sX9". Lineage: Bacteria; Pseudomonadati; Pseudomonadota; Gammaproteobacteria; Lysobacterales; Lysobacteraceae. The record is from RNAcentral. RNAcentral also lists the same sequence under 3 other names.
AUGUACCACUCGUACACUCCGGUUCCUGUGCGCCGUCCGCACCCACCUGACGACUGCUCGCUACGUUUUGUUAGCC